GUAGCUCGAUAUGCAAUGUGCU
RNAcentral lists this non-coding RNA (22 nucleotides) under Arabidopsis thaliana (thale cress). Lineage: Eukaryota; Viridiplantae; Streptophyta; Magnoliopsida; Brassicales; Brassicaceae. The record is from RNAcentral.